GUCAGCCAAAGGCAACUUCCCCCCACCCAAGUGCCAGGGGAACAACAGACUGCUGGAAAGCACCUGGAAGGGCUGCAGGAGACAGGUAGCAGCAGUGGAAGAUCUGGACAAUAUGAAGAAUAGUUAUUACAGUCACUCUGUGCAAGGUUUCUAUCUCCUGGUGAAGGUCUGGAAGAGGAAAUAGCCAGUCCUCCACCGAGCCUGUGACAAAGUUUGAACUGAGAAUUUAGGAGGCACUCAAAACGUUCACUGGUAACAAAAUUUGACAUUUUUCUAGCACUUAAUAUAGA
This 290-nucleotide long non-coding RNA is filed under the name Anas platyrhynchos platyrhynchos (common mallard). RNAcentral's name for it is "lncRNA (ENSAPLG00000016844.1)". Lineage: Eukaryota; Metazoa; Chordata; Aves; Anseriformes; Anatidae. The record is from RNAcentral.